UAGCGACAGGCCUAACACAUGCAAGUCAGGGGCAGCACAAGGAGCAAUCUGAGGUGGCGACCGGCGCACGGGUGAGUAACACGUAUGCAACCUGCCUGUAAGCGGGGAAUAACCCGUUGAAAGACGGACUAAUACCGCAUAAUACUAAAUUACUGCAUGGUAAUUUAUUUAAACAUUUAUGGCUUACAGAUGGGCAUGCGCAUGAUUAGCUAGUUGGAGAGGUAACGGCUCCCCAAGGCAACGAUCAUUAGGGGUUCUGAGAGGAAGGUCCCCCACACUGGUACUGAGACACGGACCAGACUCCUACGGGAGGCAGCAGUGAGGAAUAUUGGUCAAUGGACGAGAGUCUGAACCAGCCAAGUCGCGUGCAGGAAGAAUGUCCUAAUGGAUUGUAAACUGCUUUUGCAGGGGAAUAAAGUGCAUCACGUGUGAUGUUUUGUAUGUACUCUGCGAAUAAGGAUCGGCUAACUCCGUGCCAGCAGCCGC
RNAcentral lists this ribosomal RNA (486 nucleotides) under uncultured bacterium. RNAcentral's name for it is "bacterial SSU rRNA". It matches the Rfam family "Bacterial small subunit ribosomal RNA", at positions 37 to 518 of the family's 1533-position model. The record is from RNAcentral.